UAUAUUUCUUGACAACUUUGAUUGGCAGAUUCCUGCACAAAGUUCGACUGAAAAAAGGAGGAGACUGACACAGUUAUUAUCAGAACAAGGGAAGUCAUCCAAGAGCAGAAGUUGAAUUGAAGAUCGUCAAGAACAUUAUUUAUAAUUGACCUCUCAUGACUAGCUGAUUAGAUAUAUGGAGAAAGGGAAUGUUCCAAUACAGCCCGCAGAAUAUUAAAUUUAGCAAAAUGAAAACCGUCUCCUUUGUGGAAGGACUAAUAGUCAGAUUUAACAAAGCUGGAUAGACAAAAACUUUUAACAGCAAAACGAGACCUAGAAGAAGUGUCAAGAUGUCUCACUGAUGUCUUGCUGAUAUUUCCGAGGCAAUACAUGAAAGGGAUAACAGGAAUGCCCAAAAAAUACAGCAGACGAAGACAUCACCAACAACCAACUCCUCACGGUUUAUAGAGGUAAACUUAGGACACAACAAUCUACACAAGGUCCAGAUUAUGUCAGAUUGGUACAGAUACCAUGGCUGUUGCCUGCUGGAACAGUAAAGUGAUGUUAUUCGGUAGCAGAUCCAGAGUUUUCAUUGCCAAGAAUAUAUAGACAUCCAAAAAGGAAUAUGGGAGCAAGAGUGCAAAUUGGAGGAUAUGAGGAAUAAAUUCAGUAGAUAAAGCUUGAAAUGUGUCAAUUUUGUGGUGGAUACAUAAAAGGGCAGACACGCAGUUAUUAGAGGUAUAG
Molecule: long non-coding RNA, 723 nt
Organism: Mytilus trossulus (common blue mussel)
Lineage: Eukaryota; Metazoa; Mollusca; Bivalvia; Mytilida; Mytilidae
Exons: 7
Source: RefSeq, a predicted model, not a curated record